This 57-nucleotide microRNA precursor is filed under the name Ornithorhynchus anatinus (platypus). RNAcentral's name for it is "Oan-Mir-92-P1a8_pre stem-loop". The record is from RNAcentral. Lineage: Eukaryota; Metazoa; Chordata; Mammalia; Monotremata; Ornithorhynchidae.
AGGUUGGGAUCAGUGGAAAUGCUGUUUGCCUUUGGUAUUGCACUUGUCCCAGCCUGU